This 425-nucleotide ribosomal RNA is filed under the name uncultured bacterium. RNAcentral's name for it is "partial 16S ribosomal RNA". It matches the Rfam family "Bacterial small subunit ribosomal RNA", at positions 354 to 796 of the family's 1533-position model. The record is from RNAcentral.
GUGGGGAAUCUUGCGCAAUGGGCGAAAGCCUGACGCAGCCAUGCCGCGUGAAUGAUGAAGGUCUUAGGAUUGUAAAAUUCUUUCACCGGGGACGAUAAUGACGGUACCCGAUGAGGAAGCCCCGGCUAACUACGUGCCAGCAGCCGCGGUAAUACGUAGGGGGCGAGCGUUGUCCGGAAUUACUGGGCGUAAAGGGUGCGUAGGCGGCGAUGCAAGUCCAUUGUGAAAAGCCCGGGCUUAACCUGGGAGGUGCAGUGGAAACUGUAUGGCGUGAGUGCAGGAGAGGAAAGUGGAAUUCCUAGUGUAGCGGUGAAAUGCGUAGAUAUUAGGAGGAACACCAGUGGCGAAGGCGGCUUUCUGGACUGUAACUGACGCUGAGGCACGAAAGCGUGGGGAGCAAACAGGAUUAGAAACCCCAGUAGUCC